This 250-nucleotide ribosomal RNA is filed under the name uncultured prokaryote. Its description in RNAcentral is "partial 16S ribosomal RNA". It matches the Rfam family "Bacterial small subunit ribosomal RNA", at positions 524 to 773 of the family's 1533-position model. The record is from RNAcentral.
UACGUAGGGGGCGAGCGUUGCCCGGAAUGAUUGGGCGUAAAGGGCGCGUAGGCGGCUUGGUAAGUCUGGAGUGAAAGUCCUGCUUUUAAGGUGGGAAUUGCUUUGGAUACUGUCGGGCUUGAGUGCAGGAGAGGUUAUCGGAAUUCCCGGUGUAGCGGUGAAAUGCGUAGAGAUCGGGAGGAACACCAGUGGCGAAGGCGACUUACUGGACUGUAACUGACGCUGAGGCGCGAAAGUGUGGGGAGCAAAC